RNAcentral lists this ribosomal RNA (297 nucleotides) under uncultured bacterium. RNAcentral's name for it is "partial 16S ribosomal RNA". It matches the Rfam family "Bacterial small subunit ribosomal RNA", at positions 28 to 325 of the family's 1533-position model. The record is from RNAcentral.
GACGAACGCUGGCGGCGUGCUUAACACAUGCAAGUCGAGCGGUAAGGCCCUUUCGGGGGUACACGAGCGGCGAACGGGUGAGUAACACGUGGGUGACCUGCCCUCAGCUCUGGGAUAAGCCUGGGAAACCGGGUCUAAUACCGGAUAUGACUCCAUGACGCAUGUUGUGGGGUGGAAAGCCUUGUGCGGCUGAGGAUGGGCCCGCGGCCUAUCAGCUUGUUGGUGGGGUGAUGGCCUACCAAGGCGACGACGGGUAGCCGGCCUGAGAGGGCGACCGGGCCACACUGGGACUGAGAC